AGGCAAAACUCACAGAUUCUUCCCAAGAGAACACUAAAUGAUAUACCUCAGUCACAAGAAAACAAUGGAGAAGAGUGGGAGCUUACAAGCUACAAUAUAAUCUUUUAAAAUUAUAGGUAAUUACAAAAAGGCACAUUAAACUUCAGUUAAUCACAGUUGUUUCAAAAAUAUGUCCCUUCUCUUGACAAAGCAGUAACUCAGCCAAAACUUGGAUAAACUGGCAUUUCCUUAGAUCACAUGUUUCAUUCCUAAACACAAUGCCCCUUGUGUUUCUUUCAGGUGUCCAUACUUUCUCUGAAAAAUAGAUCUCCCCUUCCAAAGCUUGAGCAUUAUCUACUCUUUGUUUGAAAAUAAAUGCAUUGUUCAUGUGGGGACUAGUAACGCAGGUGUUUUACCUCUCUUUUCCCAGUCAGGCUGAUUCUUAAGCCUUUUAUGAAAUCAGUUCAGUUUAGUCAAAUCUCUGACAUCCACUUUUUAUUGCCAUUUCCCUUUAUGGCUAUAAUAUCAGCCCUAAAUACAACAAGAUCAUCUUUUAUUCCAUUAUGUUUACCUCUUUCUUCUACAACAGUUAUCUUAGAAGAUGUUUACAUUUUUAGUUAAUAUCUCAAGUCUUGCCAACAUUCUGCUUUCUUCUCACUUCUUGAAGACUAACUCUGGGGCAAGGCCAAAGUUCAGAUCAAGCAUUAAUAGUUCAAGUUGUUUUCAUUUUUCCUAAACUCCUUAAGGUACCCAGAUUUGCUCCUGUCACUGGAAAGCACUGUCUAAAAGCUUUGCAUGAAAUUAAACUCCCUGAGGUGUGACCAAACUGAAUAAAGCUGUGGAGGGAUGUAUUGAAGCAACUCUUCCUGAGUGAGGCAUGAGAAACACUGACAUUCUUAACACAGCAAGGAUUGGUGUUGGGUGUCAUAGAGAAUGAGGAGGGUCGGAUCUUAGAUCAUGGGGCAUGCUAUAGCUGAGAACGGAAAAAGGGGAGCAGAAUUACUUAAAGACUUCAUCUCUUCAAUGCAGAGGAUAGUAAUUGAUAUUACUUAUCAAAGUAUCUCUUUUCUAGCUAUGCAACAUGAAGUUUCAAGCAAUUUAUUAUUGUCAUUGAUGUCUC
RNAcentral lists this long non-coding RNA (1099 nucleotides) under Homo sapiens (human). RNAcentral describes it as "HSALNT0248804". The record is from RNAcentral. Lineage: Eukaryota; Metazoa; Chordata; Mammalia; Primates; Hominidae.